AGUGAACGCUGGCGGUAGGCCUAACACAUGCAAGUCGAACGGCAGCACAGUAAGAGCUUGCUCUUACGGGUGGCGAGUGGCGGACGGGUGAGGAAUACAUCGGAAUCUACUUUUUCGUGGGGGAUAACGUAGGGAAACUUACGCUAAUACCGCAUACGACCUACGGGUGAAAGCAGGGGAUCUUCGGACCUUGCGCGAUUGAAUGAGCCGAUGUCGGAUUAGCUAGUUGGCGGGGUAAAGGCCCACCAAGGCGACGAUCCGUAGCUGGUCUGAGAGGAUGAUCAGCCACACUGGAACUGAGACACGGUCCAGACUCCUACGGGAGGCAGCAGUGGGGAAUAUUGGACGAUGGGCGCAAGCCUGAUCCAGCCAUACCGCGUGGGUGAAGAAGGCCUUCGGGUUGUAAAGCCCUUUUGUUGGGAAAGAAAAGCAGCAGGUUAAUACCCCGCUGUUCUGACGGUACCCAAAGAAUAGGCACCGGCUAACUUCGUG
RNAcentral lists this ribosomal RNA (492 nucleotides) under uncultured bacterium. Its description in RNAcentral is "partial 16S ribosomal RNA". It matches the Rfam family "Bacterial small subunit ribosomal RNA", at positions 29 to 507 of the family's 1533-position model. The record is from RNAcentral.